GGGGUCAGUAGGUUGGUCGUGCCACCGGUACGUACUGGUCUCACUGAUUCCUCCUUCCUGAAGAACCGUAAUGCCAUUAAUUUGGUGUUGCGGGGAAACAGGACUGUUACUUUGAAAAAAUUAGAGUGUUUAAAGCAAGCUAACGCUUGAAUACAUUAGCAUGGAAUAAUGGAAUAGGACGAUCGAUCCUAUUUUGUUGGUUUCUAGGAUUGACGUA
Molecule: ribosomal RNA, 217 nt
Filed under: Glomeromycotina sp.
Lineage: Eukaryota; Fungi; Glomeromycota
Description: partial small subunit ribosomal RNA
Rfam family: Eukaryotic small subunit ribosomal RNA (bases 41-217)
Source: RNAcentral